CAAAUGACUCUCGGCAAUGGAUAUCUCGGCUCUUGCAUCGAUGAAGAACGUAGUGAAAUGCGAUACUUGGUGUGAAUUGCAGAAUCUCGUGAACCAUUGAGUCUUUGAACGCAAGUUGUGCCCGAGGCCUUGUGGUCGAGGGCACGCCUGCUUGGGUGUCAUG
Molecule: ribosomal RNA, 163 nt
Filed under: Distichochlamys citrea
Lineage: Eukaryota; Viridiplantae; Streptophyta; Magnoliopsida; Zingiberales; Zingiberaceae
Also listed under: 1 other name
Description: 5.8S ribosomal RNA
Rfam family: 5.8S ribosomal RNA
About the family: 5.8S ribosomal RNA (5.8S rRNA) is a component of the large subunit of the eukaryotic ribosome.
Source: RNAcentral